Molecule: long non-coding RNA, 1007 nt
Filed under: Scleropages formosus (Asian bonytongue)
Lineage: Eukaryota; Metazoa; Chordata; Actinopteri; Osteoglossiformes; Osteoglossidae
Description: lncRNA (ENSSFOG00015026651.1)
Source: RNAcentral
CCUGGCUUAUCCUCGUCUAUCAAACCCUCCAUCCUGCUUCAGUUUCUCCAUGGGACUGUGGAACUGCCAGUCUGCGGUGAGAAAGGUUGACUUCGUACCUGCCUACGCUUCCCAUCUCUCACUGGACCUCCUGGUCCUAACUGAAACCUGAAUGACCCCAAACGACUCAGCCACACCCGCAGCUCUCUCCAUUAACUACUCUUUCUCCUACAUCCCUCUUCUCUCCCCGGUGGGAAUAUUCUGUUCACCCUCUCCACCUGCAUGAUCUGUCCUCCUUUCAAUGGCCUGUUGUCUCUAUCACUGGCCCAAUCACUCUUGUUGUGUUUGUUCUGUACCCCCCCGGUCCUCCCGGCCGCUUCCUGGAUGACCUCGACAUCCUGUUGAGCUCUCUCCCAGGGGGCAGCACUCCGCUGAUUCUCCUGGGUGACUUCAGUCUGCCUGUUGAGGACAUUGAUGCAACUGGUCUUUUGCCGCUCCUACAGUCCUUUGACCUCUUCCUGUUCCAGUCCCCUGCUACUCACAAAGCUCACAAUUGCCUUGACCUUGUCUUCUCCUGUAACUGUCACUGUCCUGUCCUCUCUGUUACCCCACUCCAUCUAUUCAAUCAUUUCUUUGUCUCCUUCCAACCAUGUCUCACCAAUAAUCCCUCUCCUUCUUCUGCACCCAUUGUUAUCUUCCACCGUAACUUAAAAUCUCUCUCGCCUUCCUGCCUUGUCUCUGCCAUGCUGUCUGCUCUCCCUUCUGCUGCACAAUUCUCAGAUCUAUCAACAGAUAAUGCUACUAACAUUUUCCUCUCUGCCCUUCUUCCUCUCUUUACUCUCUCUGUCCACUGUCUUCUAGACCAGCACACCCCAGUACCACCCCAUGGCUGUCUGAUACAUUACAUACUGACAGGACCAAACUCUGGGCUGCAGUGCGCGAGUGCAUAAAUCUAAGACUCGCAUGGACCUGGAUGUCUACAAACAACUCUUAGCUACUUUUCACUCUGCUGUCUCCUCAACUGAAAG